RNAcentral lists this ribosomal RNA (301 nucleotides) under uncultured bacterium. Its description in RNAcentral is "partial 16S ribosomal RNA". It matches the Rfam family "Bacterial small subunit ribosomal RNA", at positions 509 to 807 of the family's 1533-position model. The record is from RNAcentral.
CAGUCGCCGCGGUAAUACGAAGGGUGCAAGCGUUAAUCGGAAUUACUGGGCGUAAAGCGUGCGUAGGCGGUGAGUUAAGUCUGCUGUGAAAUCCCCGGGCUCAACCUGGGAAUGGCAAUGGAUACUGGCAAGCUAGAGUGUGUCAGAGGAUGGUGGAAUUCCCGGUGUAGCGGUGAGAUGCGUAGAGAUCGGGAGGAACAUCAGUGGCGAAGGCGGCCAUCUGGGACAACACUGACGCUGAGGCACGAAAGCGUGGGGAGCAAACAGGAUUAGAUACCCCCGUAGUCCCUGUCUCUUAUAC